GCUAGUAAUGGCAGGUCAGCAUACUGCCGUGAGUACGUUCCCGGGCCUUGUACACACCGCCCGUCACACCAUGAGAGUUGGGAAUACCCGAAGCCUGUGAGCUAACUUUUAGAGGCAGCAGUCGAAGGUAGAAUCAAUGAUUGGGGUGAAGUCGUAACAAGGUAGC
This 166-nucleotide ribosomal RNA is filed under the name uncultured bacterium. RNAcentral's name for it is "partial 16S ribosomal RNA". It matches the Rfam family "Bacterial small subunit ribosomal RNA", at positions 1334 to 1500 of the family's 1533-position model. The record is from RNAcentral.